CUAGAACUGAAAGGAUGUAAGGUUCAAAACUUAAAUGUCUCAUUGCCAGUUGUUGAAUGCAGAGAGACUCAGGUCACUUUAUCGUGAGUAUUCUGAACACCAGGGUAAACAUAAAAAUCCUAAAAGUUUUCAGGGAUCAAAAAACAAAGAGACAAGUCACAUAAAAAAGACAGGAUCUUCCCACCAGCGUCCGUGGAAGUUGGAAGAUAGUGGAAAAAUGCCUUCAAAAUUCUGAGGAAAUGAUUCCUAAUCUAAAAUUCUAUUCUCAACCAAACUAUCAGCCAAGUAUGAGGAGAGAAUAAAGACAUUUUCAGAAGAUCAAGGUCUUAAAAGUUUACCUCCCAUACACCCUUUUUCAGAAAACUACUAGAGAAUGUGCUCCCCUGCCCCUGAAAUGAAGAAGUAAACCAAGAAAGAGGAAGAUAUGGGAUCCAGGAAACAAGGACUACAACACAGGGGAAAAGUGAAAGCAAUGCCCAGAAUGAUGGUGAACAGAAAUACUAAGAUAACAACAGUCAGCAGCCAUAGAACAGCCAGAUUAGAGCAGAGCAGAGGCCUCGGAAAGGGAUGUCUCUUAGAAUAAUAUGAGACUGAUUAAAUAGCUAAUAUGUGUGACCAUGUUCAGAGGAGAAUUCAUUUUAAGACUGGAAUGAGGAGAUAAUUGGUACAAAAACCAAGGAGGUAAAAAUAUGAGACAACUAUUUACAUCAGGAGAAAUAGAAAGUUCAUGAAAGAGAAUAUAGUAAACGAUGUGACUCAGCUGUGAAUGAUAAUUACAUUGCCAUUAUACUGCAUGUUGAUUUAUCUAUAAAUGGUAAGAUAACUACACAGAGAAGGUGGAAUGAGGGGAAGCUGUGGUAGGGACAGAGCAUGGAGGAGUGCUGUGCAAGAUAGGAAAGUCCUCCUCUGUUAGAGCAGGUAGUGUGGACCUUAAACAAAUAGCCAGUUAUUUCUCCAGCAAAAAUGGGUUUAUUUGGGAUCAGCAAAAAAUUGCAAUUCAGGGUCUGCAACCUUACUGAGCCACUGCAAGUCCCUAGCAACAAGGGAGGAGAAAUUCUUUCUAUAGAGGAAAAGAGGAAAUUGUAAACAAAGAGUCUGUUGGGGGAGACUGGGAAUUCAAAGUAUAGUUUUCAUUGGCUGAACUGUGACCUUUCUCAUUGGCUGAGCUUCUUGCCAGUCAAGAAGAGAAAGUUUUUCUCCUUCCUUUUGAGCUCUGCAAUCAUGGUAGGAUGUGAGAGCUCCCCCUUUUGGCCUCCACACUCCAAUAUAAUGAAGUUUCUGUUUAUCAAUUUCCACGGAAGCCAGUGGUCAAUGAUGCAGGCUGGGCGAGCCGAGGAGUCAAAAGAAAGAUUUCUUGGACUCUCAAGGUCUGGUAGUAGUGCUCUUUUAUUCAGAGAAUAGCAUGGGGACAGGACCCAUGGGCAGUGAAGGGCUACAAGCAUGGGGACAGGACCCAAGGGCAGUGAAGGGCUGGAAGCAUGGGGACAGGACCCAUAGGCAGUGAAGGGCUGGAGGCAUGGGGUCAGGACCCAUGGGCAGUGAAGGGCUGGAAGCAUGGGGACAGGACCCAUGGGCAAUGAAGAGCUGCAGUGGGUUGAGGGUAGGACUAAAUUUAUAAGGCAUAGGUAUGUGAGUUAUUUCUUUACAAGAAAAAGGAAAGAUCACUUUAAAAAAGUUGUUAAAAUGGUAUCAGUGCAGGUGGGGUCUGGUUAUCGAGUGGUCGUAUAACUUUGGGUAUGAAUCGGGUUGAAUCAGGUCGGGACUCCUAUACUUCUGGGAGGAUGACAUAGGUCAGUAUGUAGGCCAGAACACCUUGGGCUUCUCUUCCUGGGGCAGCCUGGAUCCACAUCAGGCAAUGCCCCAGGUUGAAUUCCCCAGAAGCCACCUCUGAGAUGGAGAUCAGCAUGCUAGAAAUUUCCUGGGGGAGUGUUCUUCAGAAGAGAAGGAAAAGAAGGAUUGAGCAGAAGAGGGGCUGUUAUGGGCUCUUAAAGAAGGCCUCAGCCAACACUUCAGGCAGCUCUGAAGCUAGGUAGCUCUUCAAAGUUGUUUGACCCAACAUGAGACCAGAGGCUGGUAAUUUAUGCCCUUUGUAUAUAACUUGUUGAAUGUGGGCCUCCCUGGGAAGAGGCUGUGACCUUGGCAGAGAGAUGUUUCUCUUCAG
Molecule: long non-coding RNA, 2161 nt
Filed under: Equus caballus (horse)
Lineage: Eukaryota; Metazoa; Chordata; Mammalia; Perissodactyla; Equidae
Description: lncRNA (ENSECAG00000058710.1)
Source: RNAcentral